This 232-nucleotide ribosomal RNA is filed under the name uncultured bacterium. Its description in RNAcentral is "partial 16S ribosomal RNA". It matches the Rfam family "Bacterial small subunit ribosomal RNA", at positions 57 to 305 of the family's 1533-position model. The record is from RNAcentral.
GCAAGUCGAACGAUGAAACCUGCUUGCAGGUGAAUUAGUGGCGAACGGGUGAGUAACACGUGGGAAUCUGCCCAGUAGCGGGGGAUAGCCCGGAGAAAUCCGGAGUAAUACCGCAUACGCCCUACGGGGGAAAGGCUUCGGCCACUACUGGAUGAGCCCGCGUCUGAUUAGCUAGUUGGUGUGGUAAAGGCUCACCAAGGCGACAAUCCGUAGCUGGUCUGAGAGGACGAUC